This 336-nucleotide unclassified non-coding RNA is filed under the name soil metagenome. RNAcentral's name for it is "partial contains 5.8S ribosomal RNA, internal transcribed spacer 2, and large subunit ribosomal RNA". The stretch from base 1 to 120 matches the Rfam family "5.8S ribosomal RNA", at positions 35 to 154 of the family's 154-position model. The record is from RNAcentral.
GAUGAAGAACGUAGCGAAAUGCGAUAAGUAAUGUGAAUUGCAGAAUUCAGUGAAUCAUCGAAUCUUUGAACGCACAUUGCGCCCGCCAGUAUUCUGGCGGGCAUGCCUGUUCGAGCGUCAUUUCAACCAUCAAGCCCCCGGCUUGUGUUGGGGACCUGCGGCUGCCGCAGGCCCUGAAAAGCAGUGGCGGGCUCGCUGUCACACCGAGCGUAGUAGCAUACAUCUCGCUCUGGGCGUGCUGCGGGUUCCGGCCGUUAAACCACCUUCAUAACCCAAGGUUGACCUCGGAUCAGGUAGGAAGACCCGUUGAACUUAAGCAUAUCAAUAAGCGGAGGA